CCUACGGGUGGCAGCAGUGGGGGAUAUUGCACAAUGGGGGAAACCCUGAUGCAGCGACGCCGCGUGGGUGAAGAAGCGCCUCGGCGCGUAAAGCCCUGUCAGCAGGGAAGAAAAUGACGGUACCUGAAGAAGAAGCCCCGGCUAACUACGUGCCAGCAGCCGCGGUAAUACGUAGGGGGCAAGCGUUAUCCGGAUUUACUGGGUGUAAGGGGGGCGCAGGCGGCGGUGCAAGUCAGGAGUGAAAGCCCGGGGCCCAACCCCGGGACUGCCCGUGAAACUGCGUGGCUAGAGAGCAGGAGGGGCAGGCGGAAUGCCUGGUGUAGCGGUGAAAUGCGUAGAGAUCAGGAGGAACACCGGUGGCGAAGGCGGCUUGCUGGGCUGCAUCUGACGUUGAGGCCCGAAAGCGUGGGGAGCAAACAGGAUUAGAUACCCGGGUAGUC
Molecule: ribosomal RNA, 440 nt
Filed under: uncultured bacterium
Lineage: Bacteria
Description: partial 16S ribosomal RNA
Rfam family: Bacterial small subunit ribosomal RNA
Source: RNAcentral